Molecule: ribosomal RNA, 1734 nt
Filed under: Escherichia coli
Lineage: Bacteria; Pseudomonadati; Pseudomonadota; Gammaproteobacteria; Enterobacterales; Enterobacteriaceae
Description: partial 23S ribosomal RNA
Rfam family: Bacterial large subunit ribosomal RNA
Source: RNAcentral
CUAUGUGUUGUUGGGUAGGGGAGCGUUCUGUAAGCCUGUGAAGGUGUGCUGUGAGGCAUGCUGGAGGUAUCAGAAGUGCGAAUGCUGACAUAAGUAACGAUAAAGCGGGUGAAAAGCCCGCUCGCCGGAAGACCAAGGGUUCCUGUCCAACGUUAAUCGGGGCAGGGUGAGUCGACCCCUAAGGCGAGGCCGAAAGGCGUAGUCGAUGGGAAACAGGUUAAUAUUCCUGUACUUGGUGUUACUGCGAAGGGGGGACGGAGAAGGCUAUGUUGGCCGGGCGACGGUUGUCCCGGUUUAAGCGUGUAGGCUGGUUUUCCAGGCAAAUCCGGAAAACCAAGGCUGAGGCGUGAUGACGAGGCACUACGGUGCUGAAGCGACAAAUGCCCUGCUUCCAGGAAAAGCCUCUAAGCAUCAGGUAACAUCAAAUCGUACCCCAAACCGACACAGGUGGUCAGGUAGAGAAUACCAAGGCGCUUGAGAGAACUCGGGUGAAGGAACUAGGCAAAAUGGUGCCGUAACUUCGGGAGAAGGCACGCUGAUAUGUAGGUGAAGCGACUUGCUCGUGGAGCUGAAAUCAGUCGAAGAUACCAGCUGGCUGCAACUGUUUAUUAAAAACACAGCACUGUGCAAACACGAAAGUGGACGUAUACGGUGUGACGCCUGCCCGGUGCCGGAAGGUUAAUUGAUGGGGUUAGCGGUAACGCGAAGCUCUUGAUCGAAGCCCCGGUAAACGGCGGCCGUAACUAUAACGGUCCUAAGGUAGCGAAAUUCCUUGUCGGGUAAGUUCCGACCUGCACGAAUGGCGUAAUGAUGGCCAGGCUGUCUCCACCCGAGACUCAGUGAAAUUGAACUCGCUGUGAAGAUGCAGUGUACCCGCGGCAAGACGGAAAGACCCCGUGAACCUUUACUAUAGCUUGACACUGAACAUUGAGCCUUGAUGUGUAGGAUAGGUGGGAGGCUUUGAAGUGUGGACGCCAGUCUGCAUGGAGCCGACCUUGAAAUACCACCCUUUAAUGUUUGAUGUUCUAACGUUGGCCCGUAAUCCGGGUUGCGGACAGUGUCUGGUGGGUAGUUUGACUGGGGCGGUCUCCUCCUAAAGAGUAACGGAGGAGCACGAAGGUUGGCUAAUCCUGGUCGGACAUCAGGAGGUUAGUGCAAUGGCAUAAGCCAGCUUGACUGCGAGCGUGACGGCGCGAGCAGGUGCGAAAGCAGGUCAUAGUGAUCCGGUGGUUCUGAAUGGAAGGGCCAUCGCUCAACGGAUAAAAGGUACUCCGGGGAUAACAGGCUGAUACCGCCCAAGAGUUCAUAUCGACGGCGGUGUUUGGCACCUCGAUGUCGGCUCAUCACAUCCUGGGGCUGAAGUAGGUCCCAAGGGUAUGGCUGUUCGCCAUUUAAAGUGGUACGCGAGCUGGGUUUAGAACGUCGUGAGACAGUUCGGUCCCUAUCUGCCGUGGGCGCUGGAGAACUGAGGGGGGCUGCUCCUAGUACGAGAGGACCGGAGUGGACGCAUCACUGGUGUUCGGGUUGUCAUGCCAAUGGCACUGCCCGGUAGCUAAAUGCGGAAGAGAUAAGUGCUGAAAGCAUCUAAGCACGAAACUUGCCCCGAGAUGAGUUCUCCCUGAGACUUAGAGUCUCCUGAAGGAACGUUGAAGACGACGACGUUGAUAGGCCGGGUGUGUAAGCGCAGCGAUGCGUUGAGCUAACCGGUACUAAUGAACCGUGAGGCUUAACCUU